This 624-nucleotide ribosomal RNA is filed under the name Cortinarius brunneus. RNAcentral describes it as "eukaryotic LSU rRNA". It matches the Rfam family "Eukaryotic large subunit ribosomal RNA", at positions 1 to 616 of the family's 3401-position model. Lineage: Eukaryota; Fungi; Basidiomycota; Agaricomycetes; Agaricales; Cortinariaceae. The record is from RNAcentral.
GUGACCUCAAAUCAGGUAGGACUACCCGCUGAACUUAAGCAUAUCAAUAAGCGGAGGAAAAGAAACUAACAAGGAUUCCCCUAGUAACUGCGAGUGAAGCGGGAAAAGCUCAAAUUUAAAAUCUGGCGGUCUUUUGGCUGUCCGAGUUGUAAUCUAGAGAAGUGUUAUCCGCGCUGGACCGUGUACAAGUCUCCUGGAAUGGAGCAUCAUAGAGGGUGAGAAUCCCGUCUUUGACAUGGACUGCCAGGGCUUUGUGAUGCGCUCUCAAAGAGUCGAGUUGUUUGGGAAUGCAGCUCAAAAUGGGUGGUAAAUUCCAUCUAAAGCUAAAUAUUGGCGAGAGACCGAUAGCGAACAAGUACCGUGAGGGAAAGAUGAAAAGAACUUUGGAAAGAGAGUUAAACAGUACGUGAAAUUGCUGAAAGGGAAACGCUUGAAGUCAGUCGCGUUGUCCAGAGAUCAACCUUGCUUUUGCUUGGUGCACUUUCUGGUUCAACGGGUCAGCAUCAAUUUUGACUAUUGGAAAAAGGUUGAGGGAAUGUGGCAUCUUUGGAUGUGUUAUAGCCCUUGGUUGUAUACAAUGGUUGGGAUUGAGGAACUCAGCACGCCGCAAGGCCGGGUUUAACC